Molecule: ribosomal RNA, 468 nt
Filed under: uncultured bacterium
Lineage: Bacteria
Description: partial 16S ribosomal RNA
Rfam family: Bacterial small subunit ribosomal RNA
Source: RNAcentral
GACGAACGCUGGCGGCGUGCUUAACACAUGCAAGUCGAACGGAAAGGCCCUGCUUUUGUGGGGUGCUCGAGUGGCGAACGGGUGAGUAACACGUGAGUAACCUGCCCUUGACUUUGGGAUAACUUCAGGAAACUGGGGCUAAUACCGGAUAGGAGCUCCUGCUGCAUGGUGGGGGUUGGAAAGUUUCGGCGGUUGGGGAUGGACUCGCGGCUUAUCAGCUUGUUGGUGGGGUAGUGGCUUACCAAGGCUUUGACGGGUCGCCGGCCUGAGAGGGUGAACGGCCACAAUGGGACUGAGAUACGGCCCAGACUCCUACGGGAGGCAGCAGGGGGGAAUAUGGCACAACGGGCGGAAGUCUGAUGCAGCAACGCCGCGUGCGGGAUGACGGCCUUCGGGUUGUAAACCGCAUUCGCCUGUGACGAAGCGUGAGUGACGGUAAUGGGUAAAGAAGCACCGGCUAACUACGUG